UACGUAGGGGGCAAGCGUUGUCCGGAAUCAUUGGGCGUAAAGAGCGCGUAGGCGGCCCUGUAAGUCCGCUGUGAAAGUCAAGGGCUCAACCCUUGGAUGCCGGUGGAUACUGCAGGGCUAGAGUCCGGAAGAGGUUGGUGGAACUGCGAGUGUAGAGGUGAAAUUCGUAGAUAUUCGCAAGAACACCAGUGGCGAAGGCGGCCAACUGGUCCGAUACUGACGCUGAGGCGCGAAGGCGUGGGGAGCAAACAGG
RNAcentral lists this ribosomal RNA (253 nucleotides) under uncultured bacterium. RNAcentral's name for it is "partial 16S ribosomal RNA". It matches the Rfam family "Bacterial small subunit ribosomal RNA", at positions 524 to 776 of the family's 1533-position model. The record is from RNAcentral.